Molecule: long non-coding RNA, 909 nt
Organism: Corapipo altera (White-ruffed manakin)
Lineage: Eukaryota; Metazoa; Chordata; Aves; Passeriformes; Pipridae
Exons: 2
Source: RefSeq, a predicted model, not a curated record
AAGAUAAACAAACUCAAGAAAUAAUUUAUUUCUUUAAUUUCAAAUUUGAAGAUGAAUAAGGUAGUUGGAUUCAGUAAAUCCAGAUUUACGUUAUUUAUCUUCAAAUGUUUUCAUUUGUUCAGGUGGCAAAAGCUUUAUCAGAAAAAUUUUAAGAGGAAAGCUAUGUACUGUAAGGAAAGAAGCAAUAAUCUUCCCAGUCUCAAGAGCUUGUAAAAAGAAUUUUGGAUUAAAAACCUGGAAGACUAGCUUUAUCAGGAGCUUUGAUGACACGAACUUUAAAAGGCAAAAGGAACCCACUUAAAAACUGAUUGCUGCUGCUGAGGAAAGGUCUCACUGCAGAGACAAAAAUGCUACUGAGAUACCUUGAGCCAUUUCUGUGACAUGGAGCAUCAUGGGAACUACUAAACUGACCUUACGGUUUGUAUGAAAUCAGUGAUGUCUUAUGUGAAUAUGUCCUCAGUGACUGAUGAAGAGGCACAGCUGUGUUUUGGUGUAGCUGGAGUGUAGUUCACUGCUGAAAUGUUUGUGUUUAAGGUAGUCUGGGGGAAAGAUGCAGAGGAGUGGCCAGGGUGACAGAUAAGGGCCACUUAUCUUUUGCAUUCUUCUUGGAUGUCACUACAAUAAAUCUCUGCUUCAUGAUGCUAAAUCUAGAGCCUUCAACCUUCCAGAAUUCCUGGACCAGAUGUCAGACCUGUCACCAGAUGAUCAUCAAGUCCUGUGUAGCUUCUUUUGUGUGAAAGCAGGAGGGCUAGGAACCCUCUGAUGAAAGUGAAAGUUGAAAAAGCACAACUCUUGUAGCAAGAAAUCAAUUCCACCUCUGCAGUAGUACUAAUCUCUGUAAGAUUUGCCCAGCAAGUCCCAGCAGUGAAUUAACACAGAGCUUGUGAAAAAUAUAAGGAGCUGUAUAUA